GUGAUCCUCCUGUCUCAGCCUCUCAAAGUAUUGAGAAUACAGGCACUACCAUGACUUCUAUGCAGUUUCCAUGAAAAAUAUCCCCGCAACCCGAUUCAGCCAACCUAAUUCAUCGUGCUGUUAGUAACACCGGUGGGCUUACAUUUUCAAGGAAUCGUCAUAUCUUCAGUCUCCCUGAUUCGGCCAGCCUAACCAUCGGUGCCAUGCCCUGGGGAGGCAAAUAGAGAGAAAGAGGGUCAACUAUCUAGCAUAUACCAGAGCCGUGCAUAUUAGCUCAUUGCUGAGUCACUACCUGAGAAGUAGGUUUUAUUUUCAUGUUACAGAGGAGGAAAGAGACUCAGGGACAAUAAUAUGUAACUUAUCAAAAACCACAAACGUAUUAGCUGAGAACUCAUUAAGAGUUCUUCAACAGAACAUGCUGUAUUUUUAUGUCUUAAGGAUAUGUGGUAUAAGGUUUGCACUUGGAUUAAAUCGGAACAUCCGCUGCACAGUCCAUGAUGGAGGGAGAUUUCAUUAGCGAGGAGCCAAUGUCAACAAAGUCAAAGAACAUCGGUUUCUCAGCCAGCACAUGAGCGCUGGGCGACAUCGGCUGGGGUGAGAUGAGAUUAGAGGUAUUUCAGCAACAUGGAACGAAAACCUCACUGGACCAGUCAGCCUGCGUUCAGGUCCAAUCUCGUUUGUCACAUACAGUGUGCCUUUGAACCAGCCUGUCACCUGUCUGGGCCUCAGUUUCCCGAACAAUAAAACAAAGAGGUUGAGCUAUAUGUCACUUAUAUAGUCCCUCCUGGCUUGAA
Molecule: non-coding RNA, 794 nt
Organism: Microcebus murinus (gray mouse lemur)
Lineage: Eukaryota; Metazoa; Chordata; Mammalia; Primates; Cheirogaleidae
Source: RefSeq, a predicted model, not a curated record